RNAcentral lists this transfer RNA (72 nucleotides) under Eremomyces bilateralis CBS 781.70. It matches the Rfam family "tRNA". Rfam says of the family: Transfer RNA (tRNA) molecules are approximately 80 nucleotides in length. Their secondary structure includes four short double-helical elements and three loops (D, anti-codon, and T loops). The record is from Rfam by way of RNAcentral. Lineage: Eukaryota; Fungi; Ascomycota; Dothideomycetes; Eremomycetales; Eremomycetaceae.
GGCCUAUUGGCCCAAUGGCAAGGCGUCUGACUACGAAUCAGGAGAUUGUCGGUUCGAGCCCGACAUAGGUCA